GUUGGUAGAGCUACUCGGAUGCUUCCAGGUCAGAGGAGGUCUGCUCGACCGGCUCCAGGUCGGAGGAGGUCUGCUCGGCCGUCUGCUCGACCGGCUCCAGGUCGGAGGGGCCACUCGAGCGCCUUCGGGUCUCCUGGUCGAAGGAUCUGGUCGGUCGCCUCCAGAUCGGAGGGUCUGGUCGGACGCUUCCAGGUCGGAGAGGCCACUUGGGCGCCUCCAGGUCGGACACCUCCAGGUCGAAGGGUCUGCUCGGAUGUUCGUGAAAGCGU
RNAcentral lists this long non-coding RNA (269 nucleotides) under Phoenix dactylifera (date palm). RNAcentral describes it as "long non-coding RNA (PDAC_LNC009688)". The record is from RNAcentral. Lineage: Eukaryota; Viridiplantae; Streptophyta; Magnoliopsida; Arecales; Arecaceae.